This 313-nucleotide ribosomal RNA is filed under the name Pseudomonas sp. GM13. RNAcentral's name for it is "bacterial SSU rRNA". It matches the Rfam family "Bacterial small subunit ribosomal RNA", at positions 1066 to 1378 of the family's 1533-position model. Lineage: Bacteria; Pseudomonadati; Pseudomonadota; Gammaproteobacteria; Pseudomonadales; Pseudomonadaceae. RNAcentral also lists the same sequence under 1 other name. The record is from RNAcentral.
CGUGAGAUGUUGGGUUAAGUCCCGUAACGAGCGCAACCCUUGUCCUUAGUUACCAGCACGUUAUGGUGGGCACUCUAAGGAGACUGCCGGUGACAAACCGGAGGAAGGUGGGGAUGACGUCAAGUCAUCAUGGCCCUUACGGCCUGGGCUACACACGUGCUACAAUGGUCGGUACAAAGGGUUGCCAAGCCGCGAGGUGGAGCUAAUCCCAUAAAACCGAUCGUAGUCCGGAUCGCAGUCUGCAACUCGACUGCGUGAAGUCGGAAUCGCUAGUAAUCGCGAAUCAGAAUGUCGCGGUGAAUACGUUCCCGGG